GAUGAACGCUGGCGGCGUGCCUAAUACAUGCAGGUCGAGCGAACAGACGAGGAGCUUGCUCCUCUGACGUUAGCGGCGGACGGGUGAGUAACGCGUGGAUAACCUACCUAUAAGACUGGGAUAACUUCGGGAAACCGGAGCUAAUACCGGAUAAUAUAUUGAACCGCAUGGUUCAAUAGUGAAAGACGGUUUUGCUGUCACUUAUAGAUGGAUCCGCGCCGCAUUAGCUAGUUGGUAAGGUAACGGCUUACCAAGGCAACGAUGCGUAGCCGACCUGAGAGGGUGAUCGGCCACACUGGAACUGAGACACGGUCCAGACUCCUACGGGAGGCAGCAGUAGGGAAUCUUCCGCAAUGGGCGAAAGCCUGACGGAGCAACGCCGCGUGAGUGAUGAAGGUCUUCGGAUCGUAAAACUCUGUUAUUAGGGAAGAACAAAUGUGUAAGUAACUAUGCACGUCUUGACGGUACCUAAUCAGAAAGCCACGGCUAACUACGUG
Molecule: ribosomal RNA, 497 nt
Filed under: uncultured bacterium
Lineage: Bacteria
Description: partial 16S ribosomal RNA
Rfam family: Bacterial small subunit ribosomal RNA
Source: RNAcentral